This 497-nucleotide ribosomal RNA is filed under the name uncultured bacterium. RNAcentral's name for it is "partial 16S ribosomal RNA". It matches the Rfam family "Bacterial small subunit ribosomal RNA", at positions 28 to 507 of the family's 1533-position model. The record is from RNAcentral.
GAUGAACGCUGGCGGCGUGCCUAAUACAUGCAAGUCGAGCGAACAGACGAGGAGCUUGCUCCUCUGACGUUAGCGGCGGACGGGUGAGUAACACGUGGAUAACCUACCUAUAAGACUGGGAUCACUUCGGGAAACCGGAGCUAAUACCGGAUAAUAUCUUGAACCGCAUGGUUCAAUAGUGAAAGACGGUUUUGCUGUCACUUAUAGAUGUAUCCGCGCCGCAUUAGCUAGUUGGUAGGGUAACGGCGUACCAAGGCAACGAUGCGUAGCCGACCGGGAAGGGGGAUCGGCCGCACUGGAACGGAGACGGGGACCCUGCUCCUACGGGACGCAGCAGAAGCGAAUCUGCGGCAAUGGGCGAAAGCAUGACGCAGCAACGGCGCGUGUGUGACGGAGGUCUCCGGUGCGGAAUACUCUGUUAUGAGGGAAGAACAAAUUUGUAUGGAACAAAGGACGUCUUGACGGUACCUAAUCAGAAAGCCACGGCUAACUACGUG